This 27-nucleotide small RNA is filed under the name Arabidopsis thaliana (thale cress). RNAcentral describes it as "ATSL215390". The record is from RNAcentral. Lineage: Eukaryota; Viridiplantae; Streptophyta; Magnoliopsida; Brassicales; Brassicaceae.
UUUUUUUUUGGUUUUAUUGAAUUCUUU